This 16-nucleotide microRNA is filed under the name Pteropus alecto (black flying fox). Its description in RNAcentral is "pal-miR-9993a-5p". The record is from miRBase by way of RNAcentral. Lineage: Eukaryota; Metazoa; Chordata; Mammalia; Chiroptera; Pteropodidae.
UGGGUCUCAGAGAAAA